GAUGAACGCUGGCGGCGUGCUUAACACAUGCAAGUCGAACGAUGAAGCCCAGCUUGCUGGGUGGAUUAGUGGCGAACGGGUGAGUAACACGUGAGUAACCUGCCCUUGACUCUGGGAUAAGCCCGGGAAACUGGGUCUAAUACCGGAUAGGAGCGCCUGUCGCAUGACGGGUGUUGGAAAGAUUUUUCGGUCAUGGAUGGACUCGCGGCCUAUCAGCUUGUUGGUGAGGUAAUGGCUCACCAAGGCGACGACGGGUAGCCGGCCUGAGAGGGUGACCGGCCACACUGGGACUGAGACACGGCCCAGACUCCUACGGGAGGCAGAAGUGGGGAAUAUUGCACAAUGGGCGGAAGCCUGAUGCAGCGACGCCGCGUGAGGGAUGACGGCCUUCGGGUUGUAAACCUCUUUCAGUAGGGAAGAAGCGAAAGUGACGGUACCUGCAGAAGAAGCACCGGCUAACUACGUG
Molecule: ribosomal RNA, 466 nt
Filed under: uncultured bacterium
Lineage: Bacteria
Description: partial 16S ribosomal RNA
Rfam family: Bacterial small subunit ribosomal RNA
Source: RNAcentral